UAAAAGCCGGGGAAACCCAGAAAGCUGAAGU
This 31-nucleotide non-coding RNA is filed under the name Rattus norvegicus (Norway rat). The record is from RNAcentral. Lineage: Eukaryota; Metazoa; Chordata; Mammalia; Rodentia; Muridae.